RNAcentral lists this ribosomal RNA (1000 nucleotides) under uncultured bacterium. Its description in RNAcentral is "bacterial SSU rRNA". It matches the Rfam family "Bacterial small subunit ribosomal RNA", at positions 353 to 1371 of the family's 1533-position model. The record is from RNAcentral.
AGUGGGGAAUAUUGCACAAUGGAGGAAACUCUGAUGCAGCAACGCCGCGUGGAGGAUGACGCAUUUCGGUGUGUAAACUCCUUUUAUAUAGGAAGAUAAUGACGGUACUAUAUGAAUAAGCACCGGCUAACUCCGUGCCAGCAGCCGCGGUAAUACGGAGGGUGCAAGCGUUACUCGGAAUCACUGGGCGUAAAGCGCAUGCAGGCGGUUUAUUAAGUUGGAAGUGAAAUCCUAUGGCUCAACCAUAGAACUGCUUCCAAAACUGAUAAACUAGAGUCUGGGAGGGGAAGAUGGAAUUAGUAGUGUAGGGGUAAAAUCCGUAGAGAUUACUAGGAAUACCAAAAGCGAAGGCGAUCUUCUGGAACAGUACUGACGCUGAGAUGCGAAAGCGUGGGGAGCAAACAGGAUUAGAUACCCUGGUAGUCCACGCAGUAAACGAUGAAUGUUAGUCGUUGGGACUCUAGUAGUUUCAGUGAUGCAGUUAAUACAUUAAACAUUCCGCCUGGGGAGUACGGUCGCAAGAUUAAAACUCAAAGGAAUAGACGGGGACCCGCACAAGUGGUGGAGCAUGUGGUUUAAUUCGAAGAUACGCGAAGAACCUUACCUAGCCUUGACAUACUACAGAAUUUGACAGAGAUGUUGGAGUGCCUUCGGGAGCUGUAAUACAGGUGCUGCACGGCUGUCGUCAGCUCGUGUCGUGAGAUGUUGGGUUAAGUCCCGCAACGAGCGCAACCCUCGUCCUUAGUUACUAACGGUUCGGCCGAGGACUCUAAGGAGACUGCCUUCGUAAGGAGGAGGAAGGUGAGGACGACGUCAAGUCAUCAUGGCCCUUACGGCUAGGGCAACACACGUGCUACAAUGGUUAGGACAAUGAGAAGCGAUACCGCGAGGUGGAGCAAAUCUAUAAACCUAAUCUCAGUUCGGAUAGCAGUCUGCAACUCGACUGCUUGAAGCUGGAAUCACUAGUAAUCGUAAAUCAGCUAUGUUACGGUGAAUACGU